UACGUAGGGUGCAAGCGUUAAUCGGAAUUACUGGGCGUAAAGCGUGCGCAGGCGGUUGUGCAAGACAGAUGUGAAAUCCCCGGGCUUAACCUGGGAAUUGCAUUUGUGACUGCACGGCUAGAGUGUGUCAGAGGGGGGUAGAAUUCCACGUGUAGCAGUGAAAUGCGUAGAUAUGUGGAGGAAUACCAAUGGCGAAGGCAGCCCCCUGGGAUAACACUGACGCUCAUGCACGAAAGCGUGGGGAGCAAACAGG
This 253-nucleotide ribosomal RNA is filed under the name uncultured bacterium. RNAcentral's name for it is "partial 16S ribosomal RNA". It matches the Rfam family "Bacterial small subunit ribosomal RNA", at positions 524 to 776 of the family's 1533-position model. The record is from RNAcentral.